CCUACGGGAGGCAGCAGUGGGGAAUUUUGGACAAUGGGCGCAAGCCUGAUCCAGCAAUGCCGCGUGAGUGAAGAAGGCCUUCGGGUUGUAAAGCUCUUUUGUCAGGGAAGAAACGGCUGAGGAUAAUACCUUCGGCUAAUGACGGUACCUGAAGAAUAAGCACCGGCUAACUACGUGCCAGCAGCCGCGGUAAUACGUAGGGUGCAAGCGUUAAUCGGAAUUACUGGGCGUAAAGCGUGCGCAGGCGGUUUUGUAAGUCUGUCGUGAAAGCCCCGGGCUCAACCUGGGAAUUGCGAUGGAGACUGCAAGGCUUGAAUCUGGCAGAGGGGGGUAGAAUUCCACGUGUAGCAGUGAAAUGCGUAGAGAUGUGGAGGAACACCGAUGGCGAAGGCAGCCCCCUGGGUCAAGAUUGACGCUCAUGCACGAAAGCGUAGGGGAGCAAACAGGAUUAGAUACCCUGGUAAGUCCACGCCCUAAACGAUGUCUACUAGUUGUCGGGUUUUAAUUAACUUGGUAACGCAGCUAACGCGUGAAGUAGACCGCCUGGGGAGUACGGUCGCAAGAUUAAAACUCAAAAUGAAAUUGACGG
This 589-nucleotide ribosomal RNA is filed under the name uncultured bacterium. Its description in RNAcentral is "bacterial SSU rRNA". It matches the Rfam family "Bacterial small subunit ribosomal RNA", at positions 338 to 916 of the family's 1533-position model. The record is from RNAcentral.